Molecule: long non-coding RNA, 153 nt
Organism: Ornithorhynchus anatinus (platypus)
Lineage: Eukaryota; Metazoa; Chordata; Mammalia; Monotremata; Ornithorhynchidae
Exons: 3
Source: RefSeq, a predicted model, not a curated record
GCCUGACCUGAUUAUCCCAUGUCUACCCCAGUGCUUGGCACAGAAGUUCAGCAGAGCGAACAGACCUGGGCCCCUCUGUGGCUGAGGGGACAGAUGAGCCCAUAGCAGAUGGAGAGACUACGAGCCUCAUGUGGGUCCGGAACUGUAACCGAC